UACGUAGGUGACCAGCGUUGUCCGGAUUUACUGGGCGUAAAGAGCGCGUAGGCGGUCCGAUAAGUCGGCUGUGAAAGUCAGGGGCUCAACCCUUGAAAGCCGGCCGAUACUGUCGGACUAGAGUCCGGAAGAGGCAAGUGGAAUUCCCGGUGUAGCGGUGAAAUGCGCAGAUAUCGGGAGGAACACCAAUGGCGAAGGCAGCUUGCUGGGACGGUACUGACGCUGAGGCGCGAAAGCUAGGGGAGCAAACAGG
This 253-nucleotide ribosomal RNA is filed under the name uncultured bacterium. Its description in RNAcentral is "partial 16S ribosomal RNA". It matches the Rfam family "Bacterial small subunit ribosomal RNA", at positions 524 to 776 of the family's 1533-position model. The record is from RNAcentral.